GCCUGCGUGGUGUAACGGUAGCACACUCGGCGCAUAUUCGAGAGGUCCAGGUUCGAGUCCCGGUGAGCGCA
RNAcentral lists this transfer RNA (71 nucleotides) under Stegodyphus mimosarum. It matches the Rfam family "tRNA". Rfam says of the family: Transfer RNA (tRNA) molecules are approximately 80 nucleotides in length. Their secondary structure includes four short double-helical elements and three loops (D, anti-codon, and T loops). The record is from Rfam by way of RNAcentral. Lineage: Eukaryota; Metazoa; Arthropoda; Arachnida; Araneae; Eresidae.